GAAUAUGAUGAUUUUUUUUUUGUCGCCCCAGUCUAACAUGCAUCUCUUUGAUGCAAGAUGGUGAAUGACAUUAAUGUAAUCUGAUUC
Camellia sinensis is the source of this 87-nucleotide small nucleolar RNA. RefSeq annotates it as small nucleolar RNA U31b. The record is from RefSeq and is a predicted model, not a curated record. Lineage: Eukaryota; Viridiplantae; Streptophyta; Magnoliopsida; Ericales; Theaceae.